This is a transfer RNA of Serratia odorifera DSM 4582, 73 nucleotides long. It matches the Rfam family "tRNA". Rfam says of the family: Transfer RNA (tRNA) molecules are approximately 80 nucleotides in length. Lineage: Bacteria; Pseudomonadati; Pseudomonadota; Gammaproteobacteria; Enterobacterales; Yersiniaceae. The record is from Rfam.
GCGGGAAUAGCUCAGUUGGUAGAGCGCAACCUUGCCAAGGUUGAGGUCGCGAGUUCGAGCCUCGUUUCCCGCU